Molecule: ribosomal RNA, 445 nt
Filed under: Salmonella enterica subsp. enterica serovar Agama
Lineage: Bacteria; Pseudomonadati; Pseudomonadota; Gammaproteobacteria; Enterobacterales; Enterobacteriaceae
Description: partial 23S ribosomal RNA
Rfam family: Bacterial large subunit ribosomal RNA
Source: RNAcentral
GAUUCGUCACACUAUCAUUAACUGAAUCCAUAGGUUAAUGAGGCGAACCGGGGGAACUGAAACAUCUAAGUACCCCGAGGAAAAGAAAUCAACCGAGAUUCCCCCAGUAGCGGCGAGCGAACGGGGAGGAGCCCAGAGCCUGAAUCAGCAUGUGUGUUAGUGGAAGCGUCUGGAAAGGCGCGCGAUACAGGGUGACAGCCCCGUACACAAAAGCGCAUGUGCUGUGAGCUCGAUGAGUAGGGCGGGACACGUGGUAUCCUGUCUGAAUAUGGGGGGACCAUCCUCCAAGGCUAAAUACUCCUGACUGACCGAUAGUGAACCAGUACCGUGAGGGAAAGGCGAAAAGAACCCCGGCGAGGGGAGUGAAAAAGAACCUGAAACCGUGUACGUACAAGCAGUGGGAGCACCCUUCGGGGUGUGACUGCGUACCUUUUGUAUAAUGGGU